Molecule: ribosomal RNA, 687 nt
Filed under: Lysobacteraceae bacterium enrichment culture clone JUMSS254PW-3(R17)
Lineage: Bacteria; Pseudomonadati; Pseudomonadota; Gammaproteobacteria; Lysobacterales; Lysobacteraceae
Description: bacterial SSU rRNA
Rfam family: Bacterial small subunit ribosomal RNA
Source: RNAcentral
AGAGUUUGAUCAUGGCUCAGAGUGAACGCUGGCGGCAGGCCUAACACACGCAAGUCGAACGGCAGCACAGAGGAGCUUGCUCCUUGGGUGGCGAGUGGCGGACGGGUGAGGAAUGCGUCGGAAUCUGCCUAUUUGUGGGGGAUAACGUAGGGAAACUUACGCUAAUACCGCAUACGACCUACGGGUGAAAGUGGGGGACCGCAAGGCCUCACGCAGAUAGAUGAGCCGACGCCGGAUUAGCUAGUUGGCGGGGUAAAGGCCCACCAAGGCGACGAUCCGUAGCUGGUCUGAGAGGAUGAUCAGCCACACUGGAACUGAGACACGGCCAGACUCCUACGGGAGGCAGCAGUGGGGAAUAUUGGCCAAUGGGCGCAACCCUGAACCAGCCAUGCCGCGUGUGUGAAGAGCGCCAAUGGGUUGUAAACCGCUUUUAUCCGGAAAGAAAACCUUAGGGUUAAUAACCUUGAGUAAUGAUGGUACUGUAAGAAUAAGCUCCCGCUAACUUCCUGGCAGCAGCCGCGGUAAUACGAAGGGAGCCCGCGUUACUCCGAAUUACUGGGUUUAAGGGUGCGCGGCCUUUAAUACAGGGGAAACGGGGUCCCCCCUCCAGUGCCUUGUAAUUGGGGUGGUUACCUUAGGUAGCGAAUGGCCAGUUGCGUGAAUUCUAUAAAUGCCAGAAACAAAUUC